AGCAAGCUGUAAUUGAAAAAAAAAUAUAAUUGAAGUAAAAAAAUUGAAUUUAAAAAAAAAGGAGAAGUAUUGAAAGUUUUGUGAUCGUAUUCUUGUUUCCCGAUCAAGCAAAGUUUGUUCUUCUAUCUACUAUCCUUAUCUACCAUCCUUAAAACGCCACACUUUAAACCAAUUUUAUUUUUGUUUCAGCCUACUUUAC
Molecule: long non-coding RNA, 199 nt
Filed under: Gossypium raimondii (Peruvian cotton)
Lineage: Eukaryota; Viridiplantae; Streptophyta; Magnoliopsida; Malvales; Malvaceae
Description: long non-coding RNA (GRAI_LNC009289)
Source: RNAcentral